CCUCUCGCAAUUUGGCGCGCUCCGGCCUAUAUCCGGAGCGCUCGCCUUCGGGCGGCUAUGGCGAUAAACGGCAUGUGGAAUAAGCGUUGCGGACCCGGGGGCAGUGCCCGGCGUCUCCACCAGCUUCAGGCGCCUGGAAUCGUCGGGUGCGCUUCUGGGGACGAAACAGGCUCGACGCGCGUGGUAAAGCCAUGUCUUUUGCCCGGCAUUGUACCGCCGUUAUCGGGCUAAAUCACAAGUGCCAACGAUAAUGGUCGCGAGACCAUGGCGCUCGCUGCCUAACCAUAGGUAAGCGCGGUCCGGGGGGAACCGGGCAACAGAAUCCCCCCACU
Molecule: transfer-messenger RNA, 332 nt
Filed under: Teichococcus vastitatis
Lineage: Bacteria; Pseudomonadati; Pseudomonadota; Alphaproteobacteria; Acetobacterales; Roseomonadaceae
Rfam family: Alphaproteobacteria transfer-messenger RNA
About the family: Bacterial tmRNA, also known as 10Sa RNA or SsrA, is named for its dual tRNA and mRNA-like properties. Its role is to liberate the mRNA from a stalled ribosome.
Source: RNAcentral